RNAcentral lists this ribosomal RNA (389 nucleotides) under uncultured bacterium. RNAcentral's name for it is "bacterial SSU rRNA". It matches the Rfam family "Bacterial small subunit ribosomal RNA", at positions 975 to 1368 of the family's 1533-position model. The record is from RNAcentral.
CUACCCUUGACAUGGCAGGAAUCCCGAAGAGAUUUGGGAGUGCUCGCAAGAGAACCUGCACACAGGUGCUGCAUGGCUGUCGUCAGCUCGUGUCGUGAGAUGUUGGGUUAAGUCCCGCAACGAGCGCAACCCUUGUCAUUAGUUGCUACGAAAGGGCACUCUAAUGAGACUGCCGGUGACAAACCGGAGGAAGGUGGGGAUGACGUCAGGUCUUCAUGGCCCUUAUGGGUAGGGCUACGCACGUCAUACAAUGGCCGGUACAGAGGGCUGCCAACCCGCGAGGGGGAGCCAAUCCCAGAAAACCGGUCGUAGUCCGGAUCGCAGUCUGCAACUCGACUGCGUGAAGUCGGAAUCGCUAGUAAUCGCGGAUCAGCUUGCCGCGGUGAAUA